Long non-coding RNA from Hippoglossus stenolepis (Pacific halibut), 2277 nucleotides. RefSeq lists it as uncharacterized. The transcript is spliced from 5 exons. NCBI's taxonomy places the organism in Eukaryota, Metazoa, Chordata, Actinopteri, Pleuronectiformes, Pleuronectidae. The record is from RefSeq and is a predicted model, not a curated record.
AGGAGGAGGAAAGAGAAAAGAAAGAAGAGUCGAAUUAGGAUGAAGAUAUGCAGCAUUAACCCGACAAACCUGUCCACACAGAGUCUCACUUGCGCUACUGUUGAUUCUAACUAAAGAAGCUGUUAGUGGACAAAGACUGAACUUCUCACAGGAAACUGGAGACGGCUGUAAGAGUUUGGUAGGAAAAGGGCCAAAGUUGGGCUUUCUGGUGGCCUGCUUCUCAGCCUGGGACUCAGGAGUUCAACAGGAUUUCAGAGACGGAGACAGAGAUUUGAUCCCAUUCAGCUACAAAAGCUCUGGUGAAGAAUGAGCACUGAUAUCGGGGCGUUAACCAAAGCUCCAGCUUCAGCACAUCUCUGAAUGGCCAGAUGUUUUCACAUGUGGAGGUGAAAACCUGUCUCUGCAUGAAAUAACCACUGAGGAUUAUCUAGAGGACGGUUUUAAAACCAGGGAACUCCAUCCUCAGAACUGGAAGGGAAUAGAGCUGUGAAGAUGGUCGUCGAUAUGGACGAGCCAUGCAUCAGGGGCCCCAGCAAAGUCAAGCCGACCAAUUAGCGAAGAGAGAGCGGCCGACACUGUGCAUCGCCUCAUGAUGAGGAAGGGUCUACAGCUGAUCGUCAUGCAAUCUGAACCUGCAUGAGAGGAACCGCGUUGCAUUGUGGGAAGAAACAAUCUGCAUCUUUCCCCCUUAAAGAAGAGAAGAAGCAGAAACAUCAGCAUGAUUAUAGGUUAUCAGGGUAAUGCAUUAAAGAUAAGGAGAAAUGAGACAAAAUCUGCAAACACGAUUGAUGCUCUGUGCUCAGAAGGAGUUGCACCGCGACUUAUUGAUUAAAACUGUUUGAGUUCCUUAUUGAGAGCUGAGUAGAGACGGUGGAGCCAGACGACUGUCAGCCAACACAAGUCGGUCAUUUAGCCGAGCCAGAUCUCCUCCUCUGUCAGUUUACUUCACAGUGUUCGAUUAUGUACAGCUCAGCCCAAUACACACAAGGGCGCUCAUUUAGGACGACAGGGUGGCCAUUUGUUGUCAUGGCACCGAAACUGUGGAAGUAAGACUUUUACCUCAGUUUUAUGGUUUUAUGUCACCUGGAAGAUGCAUUGUUUCAUCUAAUCUACCCGCAUUUCCCUGUAUAAACCUCCCACUGUAACGUGCUCUGUUAAAGCAAAACUAUGUCAAGUAAAGCGCUAAAAAUAUACUGAACUAAACUCCUCCAAGGCCCAACAGUCUCUUUAUGAAGCCAUAUUUCAGUCGACUAGAUCCAGAUUUUUAUUUGGCACAUACUCAGUAACUAAAUUAGUGAAAAUGUCAAAAAAACUUCCCGAAAGUCCUUUGUCACACAGCUUUGUCCAGAUCCACGACUCAUCGGAAUGGGUUCUUUCUUGGCCCUUGUCCCAUCCUUACGCCAAGUUUUGCGUAAAAUCCAUUUGCGUAAUCCUGAUGACGAACACACAAAUAAAAACAGACAGGGCUGAAAGCAUAAGCUCAAGUCCUAUAAUAAGUUUUAUUUCUCAUAUGUAAGUUAACACAAGGUCAACAGUAGAAUGGACAAGAAGAACAUAUUCAUAUACAGUACAUACAUAUGCACGUAUUAACAUAUAUGUAUAUACACCUACUAGCAGCCUUCUUGCUCUGAAUACUACUAGACUACAACUGAUUUUAAUUUGCCUCAGCACAUCUGUCACUCAACACGAACUCCCGUUUAUUUCUUGCACAUCACAGUUACACUGACUUUACGAGGAAUCCGGGUCAAACCGUGGGUGACGAGACGAGAACAAUCGGCCGCGUGUCUUCCCAUCACUGUGGAUCGUUUGCUGGAACUGACCCUGAUAACACUUACAGUAAGCGCUAACUGUGUUGAGUAACAGGUAGUUAGUUACAGAUGGGUAACAAAUAUGUCCGAGAUUCUCUCUCUCUCUCUCUCUCCCAGAGUCUGGUCACCGGUUUGGUGUUUCUGACGUUGCUGUUGCUGUCGAACACUCGUCUCCUGCGCAGGUGUUCAGUUGGGUUGAGAUGUGGAGACCGUGCAGGGACUUAGGGACGAGUGGAUGAGGCCUUGUUGUGUUGAGGUGGUCAAGGUCAACACUGUUUCCUGAAGAGCCUCCAUCCAAAUAUUUCAAUACGGGAGACAAGCAAGGCCCCAUCUCAAUACUACUUAUUUCUUAUCUUUGCACUCGUUUAUUAAAGUUUAUAAACUAGUUGUUAGGUGGUGGAGAUUAACUAUGUUCUGAACACACACAAUUUUAAGGAAAGGAAAGGAAAGUUUGCAAUGUGUGUAUGUG